CCUACGGGAGGCAGCAGUGGGGAAUAUUGGACAAUGGGCGCAAGCCUGAUCCAGCCAUACCGCGUGGGUGAAGAAGGCCUUCGGGUUGUAAAGCCCUUUUGUUGGGAAAGAAAAGCAGUCGGCUAAUACCCGGUUGUUCUGACGGUACCCAAAGAAUAAGCACCGGCUAACUUCGUGCCAGCAGCCGCGGUAAUACGAAGGGUGCAAGCGUUACUCGGAAUUACUGGGCGUAAAGCGUGCGUAGGUGGUUGUUUAAGUCUGUUGUGAAAGCCCUGGGCUCAACCUGGGAAUUGCAGUGGAUACUGGGCGACUAGAGUGUGGUAGAGGGUAGUGGAAUUCCCGGCGUAGCAGUGAAAUGCGUAGAGAUCGGGAGGAACAUCCAUGGCGAAGGCAGCUACCUGGACCAACACUGACACUGAGGCACGAAAGCGUGGGGAGCAAACAGGAUUAGAUACCCUGGUAGUCCACGCCCUAAACGAUGCGAACUGGAUGUUGGGUGCAAUUUGGCACGCAGUAUCGAAGCUAACGCGUUAAGUUCGCCGCCUGGGGAGUACGGUCGCAAGACUGAAACUCAAAGGAAUUGACGG
Molecule: ribosomal RNA, 587 nt
Filed under: uncultured bacterium
Lineage: Bacteria
Description: bacterial SSU rRNA
Rfam family: Bacterial small subunit ribosomal RNA
Source: RNAcentral